RNAcentral lists this long non-coding RNA (309 nucleotides) under Lathyrus oleraceus (garden pea). Its description in RNAcentral is "Pisum sativum (pea) long non-coding RNA (PSAT_LNC029662)". Lineage: Eukaryota; Viridiplantae; Streptophyta; Magnoliopsida; Fabales; Fabaceae. The record is from RNAcentral.
CCUCAAAUGUUGAUGCUGAUCUGGAACAUCACUACGUUCGAUCAACUAAAGAGGGAGCUAGUUCGUUGGUUAGAUGGGAAAAUACCAGAAGCGAAAAAAAUUAGAAGUAUUGAGAGACUCGACAAUAUCUUUGGUUGGGUGAGAAUGAAGACUGAUAAGGAUGCUAGGGAAAUGAUGUUCGGUCGAGAUGACAUCAAUUUGAUUGUUGUAAUCAGUUAGAAAUAUUUCUGUUUCAGAUAGCUUAUUUUGUACUGAUGUUUGUUGUGAACCUCGUUGUAACAAAAACUUAAUGAUAUAUAAUGAUUGAAG